GGAGGGGUGCAGGAGUGGUUGAACUGGGCUGCCUGCUAAGCAGUUAUGGCUUAACCGCCAUCGUGGGUUCGAAUCCCACCUCCUCCGCCA
RNAcentral lists this transfer RNA (90 nucleotides) under Candidatus Poribacteria bacterium. Its description in RNAcentral is "tRNA-Ser". It matches the Rfam family "tRNA". Rfam says of the family: Transfer RNA (tRNA) molecules are approximately 80 nucleotides in length. Their secondary structure includes four short double-helical elements and three loops (D, anti-codon, and T loops). Lineage: Bacteria; Candidatus Poribacteria. The record is from RNAcentral.